ACUGCAGACUGUAACAGACUUAAAAUUUUUGUGUAUUUGUGUGUUUUUCUAAAAAAAUUAGAGGAGAUCGAACAGUUAAACCAUCGCUUCUGUUAAACAUGUUCUGAAAUUCAGUACAAUUGUAGACUACUUUUUGGAAGCUGAAAGCUGACGAGAUGAAACUUAUUUUCACAGGAGAAAAUGCAUUGAAAUCCAACCACUUGAAAAAGUUUUCAUUUUGUGGUAAGCUUUGGACUAUUAAAAGCUAAAGUACAUACCAGUAUGAGAGAUCGUAUUUAUAUCUAAUGUUCACGUAGAACUUGAUGAAGAUAGCUCAAUUCAUAGAUCAGAAUGUAAGAGGCCUAUACUUAUGCCAUCACAAAGCUACCUUAUGCAUUUAUGGACAUUAUAUCAGUUACCAAUAUCCAAAGUCGAUGGACUGCCGGGAAAUAAAGAGGAAGGGACGAAAACAAAUAUCUAAAAUCUACGACAUAUUUUUUUUUAUAAAUAAUACAUUUUUAUGCCUUUA
Sitophilus oryzae (rice weevil) is the source of this 508-nucleotide long non-coding RNA. RefSeq lists it as uncharacterized. The record is from RefSeq and is a predicted model, not a curated record. The transcript has 3 exons. Lineage: Eukaryota; Metazoa; Arthropoda; Insecta; Coleoptera; Curculionidae.